CUACGGGUUGCUGCAGUCGAGAAUCUUCCGCAAUGGACGAAAGUCUGACGGAGCGACGCCGCGUGGUGGAUGAAGUCCUUAGGGACGUAAACACCUUUUAUGAGGGAGGAAGUUUAUUGACGUUACCUCAUGAAUAAGGGGCUCCCAACUCUGUGCCAGCAGGAGCGGUAAUACAGAGGCCUCAAGCAUUAUCCGGAUUCACUGGGCGUAAAGGGUGCGUAGGCGGUGAUGUUAGUCAGGUGUUAAAUCCUUGGGCUCAACCCAAGAAUCGCAUUUGAAACGGCAUCACUAGAAGAAGUCAGAGGUAAGCAGAACUCUCGGUGUAGGGGUGAAAUCCGUUGAUAUCGAGGGGAAUACCAAAUGCGAAGGCAGCUUACUGGGACUUUCUUGACGCUGAGGCACGAAAGCGUGGGUAGCGAAUGGGAUUAGAUACCCCUGUAGUC
Molecule: ribosomal RNA, 443 nt
Filed under: uncultured bacterium
Lineage: Bacteria
Description: partial 16S ribosomal RNA
Rfam family: Bacterial small subunit ribosomal RNA
Source: RNAcentral